AAAGGAUAAUUAAUAUGAUUCUCAACAAGGUUUGUCUGUAUUACUUCAAUGUUGAGAAUCAUAUUAAUUAUCCUUUGUUUCACUAUUAGAUAAAAGUUUGACUAGUUUCACAUCAAGUUAUAAUUCAUUCUAUGAACUUCAGUCAUAGAGCACAAUGAAGAAAAUGGACAGCUAAAACUGAAUGUUUACAUUUUGUAUACCAUCAUAUAAAUGCUUUUGAUGUCUCCAUGAUGGAUCUUGAAGGUGGUAUGACCAAGACCCCACAAGAUAUUUUUAUAAAUCAAUGCAAGAUUAUCUGAAUAUCCUACUCUUACAAGUUACAACCCUUCACCUGCCCUUUGCAGAACUCUUCGAAGUUCAUCAGCCAUUCCUUGUAAGAGAACAGGUUUUCGAAUCACUCCAUUCAUUCCCAUCUG
Molecule: unclassified non-coding RNA, 416 nt
Filed under: Hevea brasiliensis (rubber tree)
Lineage: Eukaryota; Viridiplantae; Streptophyta; Magnoliopsida; Malpighiales; Euphorbiaceae
Source: RNAcentral